This is a long non-coding RNA of Lontra canadensis (Northern American river otter), 328 nucleotides long. RefSeq lists it as uncharacterized. The record is from RefSeq and is a predicted model, not a curated record. Lineage: Eukaryota; Metazoa; Chordata; Mammalia; Carnivora; Mustelidae. The transcript is spliced from 3 exons.
GGGCGGGGUGGCAGUCGUGCCCGGGGCGCCACCUGGCUCUUCUUGCAGGGGUGUUCAGGUUGGGGAGGCUAUGUCGGAAACGGCUUGGGGCUCACGUGUUGGGGGCAACCUGUGGUCCCUGCCUUGGCAUGGCUGCCUGAGUCUCCAGGGCCGGCCUCUGAGCCAACAGCAACCCCCAUCCCCGGUUUCCAGAAUCUGGAAACCUCAGGGCUGGACAUCCCCUUCCCACAGGACUGCAGCUACAGCAGUAACAAAUCAUCCUGGUGGAAGGCAGUGCUCAUCCAGCACCUACUCACCAGGCCCCCUUCUAAGCACUCUACAGGGAUUG